UGGGGAAUUUUGGACAAUGGGGGAAACCCUGAUCCAGCCAUCCCGCGUGUGCGAUGAAGGCCUUCGGGUUGUAAAGCACUUUUGGCAGGAAAGAAACGUCGCGGGUUAAUACCCCGCGGAACUGACGGUACCUGCAGAAUAAGCACCGGCUAACUACGUGCCAGCAGCCGCGGUAAUACGUAGGGUGCAAGCGUUAAUCGGAAUUACUGGGCGUAAAGCGUGCGCAGGCGGUUCGGAAAGAAAGAUGUGAAAUCCCAGAGCUUAACUUUGGAACUGCAUUUUUAACUACCGGGCUAGAGUGUGUCAGAGGGAGGUGGAAUUCCGCGUGUAGCAGUGAAAUGCGUAGAUAUGCGGAGGAACACCGAUGGCGAAGGCAGCCUCCUGGGAUAACACUGACGCUCAUGCACGAAAGCGUGGGGAGCAAACAGGAUUAGAUACCCUGGUAGUCCACGCCCUAAACGAUGUCAACUAGCUGUUGGGGUCUUCGGACCUUGGUAGCGCAGCUAACGCGUGAAGUUGACCGCCUGGGGAGUACGGUCGCAAGAUUAAAACUCAAAUGAAUUGACGGGGGUCAUA
Molecule: ribosomal RNA, 576 nt
Filed under: uncultured bacterium
Lineage: Bacteria
Description: partial 16S ribosomal RNA
Rfam family: Bacterial small subunit ribosomal RNA
Source: RNAcentral